GACGAACGCUGGCGGCGUGCUUAACACAUGCAAGUCGAACGCUGAAGACCUGGCUUUUGUUGGGUUGGAUGAGUGGCGAACGGGUGAGUAACACGUGAGUAACCUGCCCUCUUCUUUGGGAUAACGCCCGGAAACGGGUGCUAAUACUGGAUAUUCACUGAUCUUCGCAUGGGGGUUGGUGGAAAGGUUUGUUCUGGUGGGGGAUGGGCUCGCGGCCUAUCAGCUUGUUGGUGGGGUGAUGGCCUACCGAGGCUUUGACGGGUAGCCGGCCUGAGAGGGUGACCGGUCACAUUGGGACUGAGAUACGGCCCAGACUCCUACGGGAGGCAGCAGUGGGGAAUAUUGCACAAUGGGCGAAAGCCUGAUGCAGCGACGCCGCGUGAGGGAUGGAGGCCUUCGGGUUGUAAACCUCUUUCGCUCAUGGUCAAGCCGCAACUGUGGGUUGUGGUGAGGGUAGUGGGUAAAGAAGCGCCGGCUAACUACGUG
This 486-nucleotide ribosomal RNA is filed under the name uncultured bacterium. Its description in RNAcentral is "partial 16S ribosomal RNA". It matches the Rfam family "Bacterial small subunit ribosomal RNA", at positions 28 to 507 of the family's 1533-position model. The record is from RNAcentral.